This 465-nucleotide ribosomal RNA is filed under the name uncultured bacterium. RNAcentral's name for it is "partial 16S ribosomal RNA". It matches the Rfam family "Bacterial small subunit ribosomal RNA", at positions 339 to 795 of the family's 1533-position model. The record is from RNAcentral.
CUACGGGUUGCAGCAGUGAGGAAUUUUGCGCAAUGGGGGGAACCCUGACGCAGCAACGCCGCGUGAGUGAUGAAGGCCUUCGGGUCGUAAAGCUUUGUCAAGUGGGAAGAACCUAUGCAGUGUUAAUAUCAUUAUAUACUGACGGUACCACUGAAGGAAGCACCGGCUAACUCCGUGCCAGCAGCCGCGGUAAUACGGGGGGUGCAAGCGUUAUUCGGAAUCAUUGGGCGUAAAGGGCACGUAGGCGGCCUGGUAAGUCAGAUGUGAAAGCCCGGGGCUUAACCCCGGAAGUGCAUUUGAUACUGUCAGGCUUGAGUAUGGGAGAGGGAAGUGGAAUUCCUGGUGUAGAGGUGAAAUUCGUAGAUAUCAGGAGGAACACCGGUGGCGAAGGCGACUUCCUGGACCAAUACUGACGCUGAGGUGCGAAGGCGUGGGUAGCAAACAGGAUUAGAUACCCUCGUAGUC